GCGCCAGUAGCUCAAUCGGAUAGAGCAACGGCCUUCUAAGCCGUGGGUUGGGGGUUCGAUUCCCUCCUGGCGUA
RNAcentral lists this transfer RNA (74 nucleotides) under Candidatus Zhuqueibacterota bacterium. RNAcentral describes it as "candidate division KSB1 bacterium (activated sludge metagenome) tRNA-Arg". It matches the Rfam family "tRNA". Rfam says of the family: Transfer RNA (tRNA) molecules are approximately 80 nucleotides in length. Their secondary structure includes four short double-helical elements and three loops (D, anti-codon, and T loops). Further hydrogen bonds mediate the characteristic L-shaped molecular structure. tRNAs have two regions of fundamental functional importance: the anti-codon, which is responsible for specific mRNA codon recognition, and the 3' end, to which the tRNAs corresponding amino acid is attached (by aminoacyl-tRNA synthetases). tRNAs cope with the degeneracy of the genetic code in two manners: having more than one tRNA (with a specific anti-codon) for a particular amino acid; and 'wobble' base-pairing, i.e. permitting non-standard base-pairing at the 3rd anti-codon position. The record is from RNAcentral. RNAcentral also lists the same sequence under 1 other name. Lineage: Bacteria; Pseudomonadati.